CCUACGGGGGGCUGCAGUGGGGAAUAUUGGACAAUGGGCGAAAGCCUGAUCCAGCCAUGCCGCGUGUGUGAAGAAGGCCUUCGGGUUGUAAAGCACUUUCAGUGGGGAAGAAAGCCUUGGGGCUAAUACCCUCGAGGAAGGACAUCACCCACAGAAGAAGCACCGGCUAACUCCGUGCCAGCAGCCGCGGUAAUACGGAGGGUGCGAGCGUUAAUCGGAAUUACUGGGCGUAAAGCGCGCGUAGGCGGUCUGAUAAGCCGGUUGUGAAAGCCCCGGGCUCAACCUGGGAACGGCAUCCGGAACUGGCAGGCUAGAGUGCAGGAGAGGAAGGUAGAAUUCCCGGUGUAGCGGUGAAAUGCGUAGAGAUCGGGAGGAAUACCGGUGGCGAAGGCAGUCCUCUGGACUGACACUGACGCUGAGGUGCGAAAGCGUGGGGAGCAAACAGGAUUAGAUACCCCAGUAGUC
Molecule: ribosomal RNA, 465 nt
Filed under: Vreelandella stevensii
Lineage: Bacteria; Pseudomonadati; Pseudomonadota; Gammaproteobacteria; Oceanospirillales; Halomonadaceae
Description: partial 16S ribosomal RNA
Rfam family: Bacterial small subunit ribosomal RNA
Source: RNAcentral